UACGUAGGGUGCGAGCGUUGUCCGGAAUUAUUGGGCGUAAAGAGCUCGUAGGCGGCUUGUCGCGUCGGAUGUGAAAGCCCGGGGCUUAACUCCGGGUCUGCAUUCGAUACGGGCAGGCUAGAGUUCGGUAGGGGAGAUCGGAAUUCCUGGUGUAGCGGUGAAAUGCGCAGAUAUCAGGAGGAACACCGGUGGCGAAGGCGGAUCUCUGGGCCGAUACUGGCGCUGAGGUGCGAAAGCGUGGGGAGCAAACAGG
This 253-nucleotide ribosomal RNA is filed under the name uncultured bacterium. RNAcentral describes it as "partial 16S ribosomal RNA". It matches the Rfam family "Bacterial small subunit ribosomal RNA", at positions 524 to 776 of the family's 1533-position model. The record is from RNAcentral.